RNAcentral lists this ribosomal RNA (464 nucleotides) under uncultured bacterium. RNAcentral's name for it is "bacterial SSU rRNA". It matches the Rfam family "Bacterial small subunit ribosomal RNA", at positions 28 to 507 of the family's 1533-position model. The record is from RNAcentral.
GAUGAACGCUGGCGGCGUGCAUAACACAUUCAAGUCGAACGGUGACGAGGACUUCGGUCCUCUGAUCAGUGGCGGACGGGUGAGUAACGCGUGAGCAACCUGCCCUAUAUUGCGGGAUAACAACCGGAAACAGUUGCUAAUACCGCAUGACGUAUUCGGAUCGCAUGUUCUGAAUACCAAAGAAUUUUGAUAUAGGAUGGGCUCGCGUCCGAUUAGGCAGUUGGUGGGGUAACGGCCCACCAAACCGACGAUCGGUAGCCGAACUGAGAGGUUGAACGGCCACAUUGGAACUGAGAUACGGUCCAGACUCCUACGGGAGGCAGCAGUGGGGAAUAUUGGGCAAUGGGCGAAAGCCUGACCCAGCGACGCCGCGUGAGGGAAGAAGGUCUUCGGAUUGUAAACCUCUUUCAGCAGGGAAGAAGCAAGUGACGGUACCUGCAGAAGAAGUCACGGCUAACUACGUG